This 253-nucleotide ribosomal RNA is filed under the name uncultured bacterium. RNAcentral's name for it is "partial 16S ribosomal RNA". It matches the Rfam family "Bacterial small subunit ribosomal RNA", at positions 524 to 776 of the family's 1533-position model. The record is from RNAcentral.
UACAGAGGUGGCAAGCGUUGUUCGGAAUUACUGGGCGUAAAGAGCGUGUAGGCGGCCACGCAGGUCCGUUGUGAAAACUGGAGGCUCAACCUUCAGACGUCGACGGAAACCGUGUGGCUAGAGUCCGGAAGAGGAGAGUGGAAUUCCUGGUGUAGCGGUGAAAUGCGCAGAUAUCAGGAAGAACACCAAUGGCGAAGGCAGCUCUCUGGGACGGUACUGACGCUGAGACGCGAAAGCGUGGGGAGCGAACAGG